RNAcentral lists this ribosomal RNA (254 nucleotides) under uncultured bacterium. Its description in RNAcentral is "partial 16S ribosomal RNA". It matches the Rfam family "Bacterial small subunit ribosomal RNA", at positions 524 to 776 of the family's 1533-position model. The record is from RNAcentral.
UACGUAGGGUGCGAGCGUUGUCCGGAAUUAUUGGGCGUAAAGAGCUCGUAGGCGGUGUGUCACGUCGGCCGUGAAAACCUGCAGCUUAACUGUGGGCGUGCGGUCGAUACGGGCAUCACUGGAGUUCGGCAGGGGAGACUGGAAUUCCUGGUGUAGCGGUGGAAUGCGUUGAUAUCAGGAGGAACACCGGCGGCGAAGGCGAGGCUCUGGCCCAUUACUGACGCUGAGACGCGAAAGCUAGGGGAGCAAACGGG